RNAcentral lists this ribosomal RNA (1773 nucleotides) under Panicum hallii. RNAcentral's name for it is "SSU rRNA". It matches the Rfam family "Eukaryotic small subunit ribosomal RNA". Lineage: Eukaryota; Viridiplantae; Streptophyta; Magnoliopsida; Poales; Poaceae. The record is from RNAcentral.
CCAGUAGUCAUAUGCUUGUCUCAAAGAUUAAGCCAUGCAUGUCUAAGUAUAAGCAAUUAUACCGUGAAACUGCGAAUGGCUCAUUAAAUCAGUUAUCGUUUAUUUGAUAAUACCUUACUACUUGGAUAACCGUGGUAAUUCUAGAGCUAAUACAUGCUGAAAAUCCCGACUUCGGAAGGGAUGUGUUUAUUAGAUAAAAAACCAAUGCCCUUCGGGGCUUUUUGGUGAUUCAUGAUAACUUUACGGAUCGCAUAGCCUUGCGCUGGCGACGGUUCAUUCAAAUUUCUGCCCUAUCAACUUUCGAUGGUAAGGUAUUGGCUUACCAUGGUUUCAACGGGUAACGGGGAAUUAGGGUUCGAUUCCGGAGAGGGAGCCUGAGAAACGGCUACCACAUCCAAGGAAGGCAGCAGGCGCGCAAAUUACCCAAUCCCGACACGGGGAGGUAGUGACAAUAAAUACUGAUACAGGGCUCUUUUGGGUCUUGUAAUUGGAAUGAGUACAAUUUAAACCUCUUAACGAGGAACAAUUGGAGGGCAAGUCUGGUGCCAGCAGCCGCGGUAAUUCCAGCUCCAAUAGCGUAUAUUAAAGUUGUUGCAGUUAAAAAGCUCGUAGUUGAAACUUGGGCCUGGCUGGCGGGUCCGCCUCACCGCGUGCACUCGUCCGGCCGGGCCUUCCUUCUGAAGAACCUCAUGCCCUUCACUGGGCGUGCUGGGGAAUCAGGACUUUUACUUUGAAAAAAUUAGAGUGUUCAAAGCAGGCCUUUGCUCGAAUACGUUAGCAUGGAAUAAUAAAAUAGGGCGUGCGUUUCUAUUUUGUUGGUUUCUAGAGACGCCGCAAUGAUUAACAGGAACAGUCGGGGGCAUCAGUAUUCAGUUGUCAGAGGUGAAAUUCUUGGAUUUACUGAAGACUAACUACUGCGAAAGCAUUUGCCAAGGAUGUUUUCAUUAAUCAGUGAACGAAAGUUAGGGGAUCGAAGACGAUCAGAUACCGUCGUAGUCUUAACCGUAAACUAUGCCGACUAGGGAUCGGGCGAUGUUCUUUUUUCUGACUCGCUCGGCACCUUACGAGAAAUCAAAGUUUUUGGGUUCUGGGGGAUUAUGGUCGCAAGGCUGAAACUUAAAGAAAUUGACGGAAGGUCACCACCAGGCGUGGAGCCUGCGGCUUAAUUGACUCAACACGGGGAAACUCACCAGUCCAGAUGAAAUAAGGAUUGACAGAUUGAGAGCUCUUUCUUGAUUUUUCAGUGGUGGUGCAUGGCCGUUCUUAGUUCGUGGGGUGACUUGUCUGCUUAAUUGCGAUAACGAGCGAGACCUUACUCUGCUAAAUAGCCAGGCUAACUUUGGUUGGUCGCCGGCUUCUUAGAGAGACUAUCAACUCAAGUUGAUGGAAGUUUGAGGCAAUAACAGGUCUGUGAUGCCCUUAGAUGUUCUGGGCCGCACGCGCGCUACACUGACAGAGCCAACGAGUUCUUUUCCUUGUUCGAAAGAAUUGGGUAAUCUUGUUAAACUCUGUCGUGCUGGGGAUAAAGCAUUGCAAUUAUGCUUUUCAACGAGGAAUGCCUAGUAAGCGCGUUUCAUCAGCAUGCGUUGAUUACGUCCCUGACCUUUUGUACACACCGCCCGUCCGCUACUACCGAUUGAAUGGCUCAGUGAGGCCUUCGGACUGGCUCGAGGAGGUUGGCAACGACCACCUCAAGCCGGAAAGUUCGUCAAACUCGGUCAUUUAGAGGAAGUAAAAGUCGUAACAAGGUCUCCGUAGGUGAACCUGCGGAGG